This is a long non-coding RNA of Camarhynchus parvulus, 576 nucleotides long. RefSeq lists it as uncharacterized. Lineage: Eukaryota; Metazoa; Chordata; Aves; Passeriformes; Thraupidae. The record is from RefSeq and is a predicted model, not a curated record. The transcript is spliced from 3 exons.
GUUCUGCUAUGAUGCCACAUCCAACACCUUCAAGCCAAACACAACCUAGCCACUUCAUUUAUUGCCAAUGAACUGACUUGUUUGAGCUGAGAAGGGUCAACAGAUAAAAGAAAUCUUCAUGUUUGUGGGGGAAAGACAGGGCAAAUGCCAAGGAAAUAUGGCUGGGAGACAGCUGGAAAGUCAAGGACAGUGAGUGACUGGCAGCAGAGCAGUAAAAGGCCACCCCUGGGCCCCUUGGGUGGGGCACGGCUGCACCUGAGCUCUUCCGGCUCCUGUUUGUCCAGCGAGUGCAGCUGCUGCCCGACACAUUCCCGGCUGCUCCGGAGCUCUGUUUCCUGACCAAUACCCAUUUGCAGUAUUUCCCAAGCAAGCGAGGCUCAUCACCAUCGCUCCCACUCCCUCUUCCCCUUCCAGUUAUCCCCGCGGGCUGGGGAGCAGCCGAGUUCAAACAAUCCGUGCUCGGGCAUCGGGGCCGGGCAGGACGUGAAGCAUUCACGAGUUUAAUAGCACCAAACAGAUAAAAGGUUUCAAAGCGCAUAAUUAAAAAAUAUCCCUGUGGCACCGGUCUGUGACACU